Long non-coding RNA from Oryctolagus cuniculus (rabbit), 1686 nucleotides. Lineage: Eukaryota; Metazoa; Chordata; Mammalia; Lagomorpha; Leporidae. The record is from Ensembl.
AUGGCUGGCACAGGACCCCCGGGGCACGGCAGGUGCCCGUUGCCCGCUCCGCCAGCGGCUGCAUUCCCCAAAAGCACACCAUCCCAUCGUGUCUGCUGCCUCCUGACCCCCGGCCCUUAUCUCAUCCCACAUCACCUUCCUGCGUUUCCUGGCCUCUCCCUGCCCCGGGCCAUCCCUGGGUCUCCGGAGCGAGCCGUGGCCACGCCCGAGCUGGCGCGGGUUACCAGCAGCCGCGGGGCUGGGACCGCUCGCCGCCGGGCCCGGGCUUCGCGCUCGUCCUGGCCGCUGGGGCCUCGGAGAGCGGCGGCAGGAGCGAGGCAUCACCCGAGCGCUGACAGGCGCCUCUCCGCCUUCCCCGCCCGGCGCAUUCGCCUUGCCACGUGCAGAACCCGGCAGGCGCGGACCGCCAGCGCCCUCGCGGUUGCCGUGGCUACGCACGAGCGGCCGCAGCUGACCCAGGCGGGGCCUCCCUCCGCCGCCUCCGCCUCGGGCUCCGUCCCCGCUCGGUUAGGGAACCCCAAGCCCCCGGCCCCUACAAGCUGUGCACACCUGCAGCAGACCCGUUUCUGCAAAGCUUCUGAAGAAAAGAAAACAACUUCAAAGCGCUUGGAAAAGUUGUUGAAUAGGAAAGCUGGCUGUCCUGGAAAUCCCGGCUACUGCUCUGUAACACAAGGCACCUCACCUGUCUCUGCUCAGGCACACAGGUGCUGGGACAGGGAAGAAGAGGAGUUCCAGGCACAUGAGCUGGGAGUGCCAAAGAACAGACACACAGCUGGCACUGAAGGGAGGAGCCAGCUAACAUCUAAGACCAACAGCCCUUCAAACGGCCCUUCAGACUGUGCUGUGGAAGCCAGGGCAGCACCUCCAGACCAUUUAUCCCCACUUCCAAGUUCUGCAAGACAAGUUGUUGUGAUCGUCAAGUUCUGGAAGACUAACUGUCAUGGUCUUGUCUCCAGGGGAUCAUCGCCUUAUGACUGUGGAGAAUGUGUUGAGACUAUUUGCAGAAAGGAUUGUCCAAUGCCAGACAAAAUGGAUUUGAAAAAUGCCUGGUGCAAUGGGGAAAAAGGUAUUGCUUGAUUGACAAGUAAUCAGGUUCAGAGGACACAGUGAAUUGGGAGGCAAGUCGAUGUGUCUCACUUUUGAGGUUGUUAGUGUUCUCCCAUUAAGACUGAUAUCCGGGCUGGUGCCGCGGCUCACUAGGCUAAUCCUCUGCCUUGCGGCGCCGGCACACCGGGUUCUAGUCCCGGUCGGGGCACCGGAUUCUGUCCUGGUUGCCCCUCUUCCAGGCCAGCUCUCUGCUGUGGCCAGGGAGUGCAGUGGAGGAUGGCCCAGGUGCUUGGGCCCUGCACCCCAUGGGAGACCAGGAGAAGCACCUGGCUCCUGCCAUCAGAUCAGCGCAGUGUGCUGGUCGCAGCGCACCAGCAGCGAUGGCCAUUGGAGGGUGAACCAACGGCAAAGGAAGACCUUUCUCUCUGUCUCUCUCUCUCACUGUCCACUCUGCCUGUCAAAAAAUUAAAAAAAAAAAAAAGACUGAUAUCCACUGACCGUGCUAGAGAAGUUUUAGAAUGAGUAGCUCUUAGAUGCGUAGACUCAGAGUAGCAGUGCCUCACCUUUAAAGGUAGAGAAACAAUGGGCUCAUGGUCCCUGAGAAAGCAGAGGGCAAAGGAUGAUUAGAUAAAUACCCCU